CAAUAGCGUAUAUUAAAGCUGUUGCGGUUAAAAAGCUCGUAGUUGGAUUUCUGUCAAGUACAACUGGUCCGCCCUCCGGGUAAGCACAUAGUUUGGUCUUGGCAUCUUGCUGGAAAUUGUUGCUGCACUUGGCUGUGUGGCGCAGUGUCCAGCACUUUCACUUUGAGGAAAUUGGAGUGUUUCAAGCAGGCAAUGCCUUUGAACACAGUAGCAUGGAAUAAUUAGAUUGGGCUUUUGCUCCAAUUUGUCGGUUUCUGGAGCUGAGGUGAGAAUUAAUGGGGAUUGUUGGGGGCAUCCGAAUUUAGCCGUCAGAGGUGAAAUUCUUGGAUCGGCUAAAGACGGACAACUGCGAAAGCGUUUGCCCAGGAUGUUUUCAUUG
Molecule: ribosomal RNA, 379 nt
Filed under: uncultured eukaryote
Lineage: Eukaryota
Description: partial 18S ribosomal RNA
Rfam family: Eukaryotic small subunit ribosomal RNA
Source: RNAcentral